CUUAUGCAUUAAAGGUGAGAUAAUGUUAGCAAAAGCCCCGAUUGAAAACGUAUAAAAAAGGGGGAUAACUCUCUUUUUUUUUCUAUUUCCGGGGUAAAUAAAGUUAGCAAACGUCUCGGAUCGAAAACGUAUAAAAGGGGGAUAACUCUCUUUUUUUCUAUUUCCGGGGGAAAUAAAGUUAGCUACCGCCCCCAGAUUGAAAACGUAUAAAAGGGGGGGGGGGGGUAACUCGCUUUUUUCAAAGAUUUCAAGCGCGAGUCUAUUUCCGGGGAUAAAUAAUUAAAAAAAAAAAAAUAUAUAGUUUCAGGGCCUAACCAUAUGUAACAGAGUCGUUUAAUUAUUAUGACCGGAAUAAUUCUAAAUGGACAGAUAUAUGUAUUACGGUAUAGCCAUGCCCCAUAUUUAUAACACAUACCUAUUUUGAAAUAAAUUAUAAUCUAAUGGAGACAACGCGGUUAACAAAAAAAAAUUAAUAUAUUUCAGAAAAAAUACUAUUACCUCAAAAAGAGAUUAAUAAAAUUUAUAAUAAUUUUCCCACCCUAGCAGCUUGGUUUUGUUUACGAUACGGUUAAGAGCACGAAUAAUAUAUCCAAUGACCGGAUUAUUAGUCCCCAAAUGUUUUCAUAGCAUCUAGACUAAUAUUUUUGGAAUAUUUUUUGGCAUGAUAUCGAAAACAAAAAAAAAAAAUCUUACAUAAUGUAUCUUUAAAGAAUAGGCUUACCAUAAUUUUUUCCGAAUGUGUCCUAUAAUGACGACGUGUAUACUCAAAGACAACGUCUCACGAGUUGGGUGUUGUUGCUACUUCAAAGUCCACGGAGCUCAAUGACGUUAAAACGACUGUCGCAUUUUUGGUCAACAAACCAUGAGAGCCUUCCAUGAUUGGUUAGUAUGGGUCACGUGGUUGUUUAGCGCCAACUUCUGACCAGUGUCUUUGUCUCGUAAAGGGUCGUUAAUCCUUUAGUUCCAGUCGACAGAGUAACUACAAUGUCUGACGGUAAACCCCACGACUGAAAGGUGUUAUAAUUAUGGGGACGCGUAGUGGUGUCACGCUGUCCUUAAGGUAGUCACAUCAAAUAGUGCUGGUUGACUGAUUUAACAUAGUACUCUUUAGAAAUGCCCGCGACAGUCCGAGCAAUCGUUUUUAUAAAACUUUUUAAAAUAGCGGAGACACACCACCAAUUUUUUUUUUAAAACUCACUUUACAGCGUUUGUUCAGUUUUAAUGUAUUUCAUUUUUAAAAAGAAAAUUUUAAAAACAGUUCUCGAACCCUCAAUUUGCAGUUGGUCAUAAAAUUAUGCUAUACCCUUUAAAAACAGCCGUACUUAUGAAAAUUGUCACUUCGACUUGUGGCUGAAAAGAAUACAACACCAAAACAGAAAGACUUGACGAAAAAAAACUAUACAAGAAAAGACAAAUAAUUUAAAAUGUAUGCAAUUGCUGAUGUAAGAAAUUUUAUAUUAUCAACCAUUAGCCUGAUUACGGCGACAUUGGCACCAUAUGCACCGUCCUUAGGCACGCCUGAUGUUGUUAUACAAUUACGGGGUAUUUUGGCAGACGCAGACGCUUUGUUGUCGACCCACAACCCGUUCAUCCCAACUAGACCAGCCACGCCUAGCCAGGAAAAAGAAACAUUGUUAGCAUACACUGACUACAUAUUGGCACGUUUGAGGUUGGUGGCCGACACAAAUCCGGGGUUCAAGAAGCCAAUGGAUAUUUUAGAGACUUACAGGGAAUUGGCCGACUGGAACUCACCGGCACUUUAAAAUGUAAAUCAAAAAUAAAAAAAAAAUAUUGAAAAAAAAAAAACAAAACAUUGUUAGCUUCUUGCUU
This is a long non-coding RNA of Patella vulgata (common limpet), 1830 nucleotides long. RefSeq lists it as uncharacterized. NCBI's taxonomy places the organism in Eukaryota, Metazoa, Mollusca, Gastropoda, Patellidae. The transcript has 3 exons. The record is from RefSeq and is a predicted model, not a curated record.